Molecule: long non-coding RNA, 426 nt
Organism: Phymastichus coffea
Lineage: Eukaryota; Metazoa; Arthropoda; Insecta; Hymenoptera; Eulophidae
Exons: 2
Source: RefSeq, a predicted model, not a curated record
UCCGUUUGUAUUUCAAAAUUCGAUCGGCGUGGGAGAUAUUACGAUAACAUUUGCAGUACUAUAUAAAGGCAAACUAGAUCCGUAUCGAUUAUAGCGAUUCAAGUUGUUGCACAGUUCACUCGGUUUGAAAGAUCAUCACAUUUGUGAAAAUGAAACUGCUUAUUUCUCUUUUGCUCAUCGUGGCAAUCGCUACUCUUCAAGUAUAUGGAUAUACAUGUGACCCCAAGGAAUGCAACGCAGGAUGUGUUUCUCGUGGCAACCAGUAUGGAUACUGCAACACCCCUAAGCAAUGCAUGUGCGUCGCAAAGGGUUAAAUAUUCCAUAAAUUUCAAUCUUUAGAUACACGCAAGUUAAUAAAUCAAUGUUCAACUGCAAAAAUGAAAUAAUAGUGUAUCUGUGAAUAAAAAAUCUGCUAUAAAUAUCAAA